AGGGUACCCCAGUGGUGCAGCCGCUACUAACGGUUCGUUUGUUCAACGAUUAAAACCCUACGUGAUCUGAGUUCAGACCGGAGUAAUCCAGGUCGGUUUCUAUCUAUAAAGUGUCCUCCCUAGUACGAAAGGACCGGGACAACAUGGUCAAUGUCAAAACAAACCAUAAUCUUUUACUAAUGAAAUAUUCUUAAUUAGCCUAGACCUCACACUUAACCCUAGAUUAGGGU
RNAcentral lists this ribosomal RNA (230 nucleotides) under Abavorana luctuosa (mahogany frog). Its description in RNAcentral is "partial 16S ribosomal RNA". The stretch from base 1 to 105 matches the Rfam family "Bacterial large subunit ribosomal RNA", at positions 2539 to 2643 of the family's 2925-position model. The record is from RNAcentral. Lineage: Eukaryota; Metazoa; Chordata; Amphibia; Anura; Ranidae.